CCUACGGGCGGCUGCAGUGGGGAAUAUUGGACAAUGGGGGCAACCCUGAUCCAGCCAUGCCGCGUGUGUGAAGAAGGCCCUCGGGUUGUAAAGCACUUUCAGUGAGGAAGAACGCCUGGUGGUUAAUACCCAUCAGGAAAGACAUCACUCACAGAAGAAGCACCGGCUAACUCCGUGCCAGCAGCCGCGGUAAUACGGAGGGUGCGAGCGUUAAUCGGAAUUACUGGGCGUAAAGCGCGCGUAGGUGGCUUGAUAAGCCGGCUGUGAAAGCCCCGGGCUCAACCUGGGAACGGCAUCCGGAACUGUCAAGCUAGAGUGCAGGAGAGGAAGGUAGAAUUCCCGGUGUAGCGGUGAAAUGCGUAGAGAUCGGGAGGAAUACCAGUGGCGAAGGCGGCCUUCUGGACUGACACUGACACUGAGGUGCGAAAGCGUGGGUAGCAAACAGGAUUAGAUACCCGAGUAGUC
This 465-nucleotide ribosomal RNA is filed under the name Vreelandella stevensii. RNAcentral's name for it is "partial 16S ribosomal RNA". It matches the Rfam family "Bacterial small subunit ribosomal RNA", at positions 338 to 795 of the family's 1533-position model. Lineage: Bacteria; Pseudomonadati; Pseudomonadota; Gammaproteobacteria; Oceanospirillales; Halomonadaceae. The record is from RNAcentral.